GAGACAGCAGCAGCCGCGGUAAUACGGAGGGUGCAAGCGUUAUCCGGAUUUAUUGGGUUUAAAGGGUCCGUAGGCGGACUUAUAAGUCAGUGGUGAAAGCCUGUCGCUUAACGAUAGAACUGCCAUUGAUACUGUAAGUCUUGAGUAUAUUUGAGGUAGCUGGAAUAAGUAGUGUAGCGGUGAAAUGCAUAGAUAUUACUUAGAACACCAAUUGCGAAGGCAGGUUACCAAGAUAUAACUGACGCUGAGGGACGAAAGCGUGGGUAGCGAACAGGAUUAGAUACCCCGGUAGUCCCUGUCUCUUAUAC
RNAcentral lists this ribosomal RNA (308 nucleotides) under uncultured bacterium. RNAcentral describes it as "partial 16S ribosomal RNA". It matches the Rfam family "Bacterial small subunit ribosomal RNA", at positions 505 to 807 of the family's 1533-position model. The record is from RNAcentral.